Molecule: ribosomal RNA, 253 nt
Filed under: uncultured bacterium
Lineage: Bacteria
Description: partial 16S ribosomal RNA
Rfam family: Bacterial small subunit ribosomal RNA
Source: RNAcentral
UACGUAGGGCGCAAGCGUUGUCCGGAAUUAUUGGGCGUAAAGAGCUCGUAGGCGGUCUGUCACGUCUGCUGUGAAAACUCGGGGCUUAACCCCGGGCCUGCAGUGGGUACGGGCAGACUAGAGUGCGGUAGGGGAGACUGGAAUUCCUGGUGUAGCGGUGAAAUGCGCAGAUAUCAGGAAGAACACCAAUGGCGAAGGCAGCUCUCUGGGACGGUACUGACGCUCAUGCACGAAAGCGUGGGGAGCAAACAGG